CGGAAACUUGAGAGCGGCGCACGGGUGCGUAACACGUGUGCAACCUACCUUUAUCUGGGGGAUAGCCUUUCGAAAGGAAGAUUAAUACCCCAUAAUAUAAUGAUUGGCAUCAAUUAUUAUUGAAAACUCCGGUGGAUAGAGAUGGGCACGCGCAAGAUUAGAUAGUUGGUGAGGUAACGGCUCACCAAGUCAAUGAUCUUUAGGGGUCCUGAGAGGGAGAUCCCCCACACUGGUACUGAGACACGGACCAGACUCCUACGGGAGGCAGCAGUGAGGAAUAUUGGACAAUGGGUGAGAGCCUGAUCCAGCCAUCCCGCGUGAAGGAAGACGGUCCUAUGGAUUGUAAACUUCUUUUGUACAGGGAUAAACCUACCCUCGUGAGGGUAGCUGAAGGUACUGUACGAAUAAGCACCGGCUAACUCCGUGCCAGCAGCCGCGGUAAUACGGAGGGUGCAAGCGUUAUCCGGAUUUAUUGGGUUUAAAGGGUCCGUAGGCGGACUUGUAAGUCAGUGGUGAAAUCUCAUAGCUUAACUAUGAAACUGCCAUUGAUACUGCAGGUCUUGAGUAAAUUUGAAGUGGCUGGAAUAAGUAGUGUAGCGGUGAAAUGCAUAGAUAUUACUUAGAACACCAAUUGCGAAGGCAGGUCACUAAGAUUUAACUGACGCUGAUGGACGAAAGCGUGGGUAGCGAACAGGAUUAGAUACCCUGGUAGUCCACGCCGUAAACGAUGCUAACUCGUUUUUGGAUUUUCGGAUUCAGAGACCAAGCGAAAGUGAUAAGUUAGCCACCUGGGGAGUACGUCCGCAAGGAUGAAACUCAAAGGAAUUGACGGGGGCCCGCACAAGCGGUGGAUUAUGUGGUUUAAUUCGAUGAUACGCGAGGAACCUUACCAAGACUUAAAUGGGAAUUGACAGGUUUAGAAAUAGACCCUCCUUCGGGCAAUUUCCA
This 948-nucleotide ribosomal RNA is filed under the name uncultured sponge bacterium. Its description in RNAcentral is "bacterial SSU rRNA". It matches the Rfam family "Bacterial small subunit ribosomal RNA", at positions 82 to 1035 of the family's 1533-position model. The record is from RNAcentral.